This 1018-nucleotide ribosomal RNA is filed under the name uncultured bacterium. Its description in RNAcentral is "bacterial SSU rRNA". It matches the Rfam family "Bacterial small subunit ribosomal RNA", at positions 357 to 1376 of the family's 1533-position model. The record is from RNAcentral.
AGGAAUAUUGGUCAAUGGGCGUAAGCCUGAACCAGCCAAGUAGCGUGAGGGAAGACUGCCCUAUGGGUUGUAAACCUCUUUUGUGCGGGGAUAAAGUGUGGGACGUGUCCCAUAUUGCAGGUACCGCACGAAUAAGGACCGGCUAAUUCCGUGCCAGCAGCCGCGGUAAUACGGAAGGUCCGGGCGUUAUCCGGAUUUAUUGGGUUUAAAGGGAGCGCAGGCCGUCCUUUAAGCGUGCUGUGAAAUGCCGCGGCUCAACCGUGGCACUGCAGCGCGAACUGGAGGACUUGAGUACGCACGAGGUAGGCGGAAUUCGUGGUGUAGCGGUGAAAUGCUUAGAUAUCACGAAGAACUCCGAUUGCGAAGGCAGCUUACCGGAGCGCAACUGACGCUGAGGCUCGAAAGCGCGGGUAUCGAACAGGAUUAGAUACCCUGGUAGUCCGCGCGGUAAACGAUGGAUGCCCGCCGUUGGGAUUUUGAUUUCAGCGGCCAAGCGAAAGCGUUAAGCAUCCCACCUGGGGAGUACGCCGGCAACGGUGAAACUCAAAGGAAUUGACGGGGGCCUGCACAAGCGGAGGAACAUGUGGUUUAAUUCGAUGAUACGCGAGGAACCUUACCCGGGCUUGAAUUGCAGGAGAACGAUCCAGAGAUGGUGAGGCCCUUCGGGGCUCCUGUGAAGGUGCUGCAUGGUUGUCGUCAGCUCGUGCCGUGAGGUGUCGGCUCAAGUGCCAUAACGAGCGCAACCCCUGUCCAUAGUUGCCAUCAGGUCGUGCUGGGCACUCUGUGGAGACUGCCGCCGUAAGGUGUGAGGAAGGUGGGGAUGACGUCAAAUCAGCACGGCCCUUACGUCCGGGGCUACACACGUGUUACAAUGGGGCAUACAGCGAGUUGGAUGUGCGCAAGUACGUCCGGAUCAAUAAAGUGCCUCUCAGUUCGGACUGGGGUCUGCAACCCGACCCCACGAAGCUGGAUUCGCUAGUAAUCGCGCAUCAGCCAUGGCGCGGUGAAUACGUUCCCG